UCCCUGGUGGCUCAGAGGGUAAAGCGUCUGCCUGCAAUGCAGGAGACCUGGGUUUGAUCCCUGGGUGGGGAA
RNAcentral lists this transfer RNA (72 nucleotides) under Bos taurus (domestic cattle). It matches the Rfam family "tRNA". From Rfam's summary of the family: Transfer RNA (tRNA) molecules are approximately 80 nucleotides in length. Their secondary structure includes four short double-helical elements and three loops (D, anti-codon, and T loops). RNAcentral also lists the same sequence under 5 other names. The record is from Rfam by way of RNAcentral. Lineage: Eukaryota; Metazoa; Chordata; Mammalia; Artiodactyla; Bovidae.